AAGGGCUGAGGCGGCAUGUCUCCUCAGCCGCUUCAGGAUGGGGCUGCGGCCGAUCAGGUAGUUGGUGGGGUAAUGGCCCACCAAGCCUAUAACCGGUACGGGCUUUGGAAGAAGGAGCCCGGAGCAUGGACACUGAGAUAAGGGUCCAGGCCCUACGGGGCGCAGCAGGCGCGAAACCUUCGCAAUGCGCGAAAGCGCGACGAGGCUACUCUGAGUGCCAUCCGCUGAGGAUGGCUUUUCUCGGGUGUAAAAAGCCCGAGGAAUAAGGGGAGGGCAAGUCUGGUGUCAGCCGCCGCGGUAAUACCAGCUCCUCGAGUGGUUGGGGCGUUUAUUGGGCCUAAAGCAUCCGUAGCCGGCUCCGUAAGUCCUCCGUUAAAUCCAACGGCUCAACCGUUGGGCUGCGGAGGAUACUGUGGGGCUAGGGGGCGGGAGAGGCGGACGGUAUUCCCUGGGUAGGGGUAAAAUCCACUGAUCCAGGGAGGACCACCAGUGGCGAAGGCGGUCCGCCAGAACGCGCCCGACGGUGAGGGAUGAAAGCUGGGGGAGCGAACCGGAUUAGAUACCCGGGUAGUCCCAGCCGUAAACGAUGCGGGCUAGGUGAUGGAGCGGCUACGUGCCGUUCCAGUGCCGCAGGGAAGCCGUUAAGCCCGCCGCCUGGGGAGUACGGCCGCAAGGCUGAAACUUAAAGGAAUUGGCGGGGGGGCACCACAAGGGGUGAAGCCUGCGGUUUAAUUGGAGUCAACGCCGGGAACCUUACCGGGGGAGACAGCAGGAUGAAGGUCAGGCUGAAGACUUUACCAGACGAGCUGAGAGGAGGUGCAUGGCCGUCGCCAGCUCGUGCCGUGAGGCGUCCUGUUAAGUCAGGCAACGAGCGAGACCCCCGCCGCUAAUUGCUACCACCGUCCGAAAGGUCGGUGGGGCUAGUUAGCGGGACUGCCGCCGUUGAGGCGGAGGAAGGAGGGGGCUACGGCAGGUCAGUAUGCCCCGAAACCCCCGGGCCACACGCGGGCUGCAAUGGUAGGGACAAUGGGCUCCGACCUCGAGAGAGGGAGGCAAUCCCCAAACCCUACCCCAGUUAUGACUGAGGGCUGCAACCCGCCCUCACGAAU
This 1109-nucleotide ribosomal RNA is filed under the name uncultured crenarchaeote. RNAcentral describes it as "bacterial SSU rRNA". It matches the Rfam family "Archaeal small subunit ribosomal RNA", at positions 181 to 1281 of the family's 1478-position model. Lineage: Archaea; Thermoproteati; Thermoproteota. The record is from RNAcentral.